UCAAAUCCCCGGGAGACCAACCAACCUCCGCACCUCCACAAACACGCUCUCCCAAAUCGGAGAGCCAAACCCUUCCCAUCCCGGCUGCUUCCCCCCGAAACCCUAGCCUCGCUUCCGGAAUGCCCCAGUAGCACCAAUCGGCGCCUCACCGCCAUGGAUCCGGGCGGCGGGGGCGCGAUGCUCCUGGAGGACUUCGGGCAGCGCGUGGACCUCACGCGCCGCAUCCGCGAGGUGCUCGCCAACUACCCGGAGGGCACCACCGCGCUUCGGGAGCUCAUCCAGAACGCCGACGACGCCGGCGCCGCGCGCGUCCGCCUCUGCCUCGACCGCCGAUCGCACGGGACCGCGUCGCUGCUGGCCCCCGCGCUCGCGCAGUGGCAGGGCCCCGCGCUGCUUGCUUACAACGACGCCGUGUUCACCGACGAGGACUUCGCCAGCAUCUCCCGCAUCGGGGACAGCAUGAAGGUCGCGCAGACAUGGAAGACGGGACGCUUCGGGGUUGGUUUUAACUCAGUUUACCACUUGACUGACUUGCCAUCAUUUGUGAGUGGCAAGUAUGUUGUCCUAUUCGACCCUCAGGGUGCUUAUCUUCCAAAUGUGUCGGCAGCAAAUCCUGGAAAGCGCAUAGAUUAUGUCAGUUCAUCAGCAAUUACGAUGUACAAUGAUCAGCUCUCACCCUAUUGUGCGUUUGGCUGCGACAUGAAAGCAUCAUUUCAGGGAACUUUGUUUCGUUUUCCUUUGAGAAGUACUGAGCAAGCAUCUUCAAGCCGGUUAUCAAGACAGUCAUACACAGAAGAUGAUAUUUUAUCUCUUUUUGCUCAACUGUACCAAGAAGCUGUAUAUAAUUUGCUUUUCCUUAAAAAUGUCCUGUCACUUGAGAUGUAUGUAUGGGAAUCUGGUAUGACUGAGCCAAAGAUAGUGUACUCUUGCUCCUUAGGAUCAAAAGAUGAAAAUCUGUCCUGGCAUCGCCAAGCCCUCAUCAGAUUCUCUGGCAGUAUUGCUGAAUCUUCUAAGCAUAAGGUGGAUUCAUUCUCGAUGGGUUUCAUAUCAGAGGCAUUCUUGGGCAAGGAGUUUGAGAAAAAGAGCUCUACCUAUUUUAUUGUUCAGGGAAUGGCACCUGCAUUAAGUAAAAUUGGUACUUUUGCAACUGCAGCUGCCAAGGAGUAUGAUCUUCACUUACUGCCUUGGGCUUCUGUUGCUGCUCGCAUCUCCGAAGCAGGGCUUGAGGAUACUGUUCUCAGACAGGGACAUGCAUUCUGUUUUCUUCCUUUGCCAGUAAGGACAGGGUUAUCUGUGCACGUCAAUGGUUAUUUUGAAGUUUCAUCCAACCGACGUGACAUUUGGUAUGGUGCUGACAUGGACAGGGGUGGUAAGCUUCGCUCUGACUGGAACAGGCUACUGUUGGAAGAUGUUGUAGCUCCACUGUUCAGGGAACUACUGCUGGAAUUGCGAAUGCUUUUAGACCCCACAAUAUCAUAUUAUUCGCUGUGGCCAACUGGUUUAUUCGAAGAGCCCUGGAGUAUCCUUGUGGAACAAAUAUACAAGGUCAUAUAUGACUCUCCAGUCUUGCAUACAGAGAUUGAAGGCGGGACCUGGAUAUCUCCAGCUGAUGCUUUGCUGCAUGAUGAGAGAUUCUCAGGAUGCAGUAGUCUAAAUGAGGCUCUUGUGUUGAUAGGCAUGCCUAUUGUUCGCCUACCUAAGGCAAUCAUUGAUAUGUUUUCAAAAUUUUAUACGCAGUCUAUGCUCAAAAUAAUAAGUCCUGCUAUAGUGAGGAAUUUCCUCAAGAAUUAUGGAAAACUUGCUACAUUAGGAAAAUCUCAUAAGUUAGUAUUAUUGGAAUAUUGCCUCACUGAUGUUAACAGCGCUGAUAUUGGUAAAUGCAUGAAUGGCCUCCCACUGAUUCCACUAGCAAAUAUGCAGUAUGGGAUAUUUUCUGAUAGUUCCCAUGAGGACUAUUAUUAUGUGUGUGAUAACAUAGAAUAUGAGCUUCUCUCUGAAGUUGGUGAUAGAAUAGUUGACAGAAGCAUUCCCACUGUACUACUAAACAAGCUGUAUCAGAUAGCCAGUGGUUCUCAGGCCAACAUUAAGCUCAUCGAUGGCCCAAUCUUUCGUCAGCUCUUACCCAGGAUAUUUCCUCCAGAAUGGAAGGGUAGAGAUCAAGUUCCCUGGAAUCCGGGAUUGGAUGGGUCAUUGCCUUCAGCAGCCUGGUUUAAACUCUUUUGGCAAUAUAUAGGGGAACGCUCGUAUGACCUUUAUUUGUUUAGUGAUUGGCCUAUACUGCCAUCUACUUCUGGUAAGCUUCACAGGUUACAUAAAGGCUCAAAGUUAAUCAAAACAGAAUCACUGUCUAGUUUGAUGAAUGAACUCCUGACAAAGUUAGGUUGCAAGAUACUGGAUACCAAAUAUCUUAGUGAGCAUAAGCAGUUAUCAUAUUAUGUGUAUGAUGGCGAUGCAACUGGAGUUAUUCAGUCAAUCUUCGGGGUUGUAUCGUUGGAGGGUGUCGAUUUGCAAUCUCUGUUUCAGCGCAUUACUCCCAGUGAAAGAAAUGAACUAUACCAGUUUCUUCUGGAUCCAAAAUGGUAUUUAGGAGUCUGCCUUUCUGACAUAAGCAUAAGUAAUUGCAAAAGGCUGCCAAUCUUCAGGGUAUUCGAUGGAGGUUCUCCCAGUUCUUAUGGCUUCUCAGAUUUAUACAGUUCAAUAAAGUACCUGCCACCUCUUGGCGUUCCUAAUCACUUACUCAAGGCUGACUUUAUCUUCUCUAUCUGCCCAAGUGAUGAAGACAUCAUAAUGAGAUACUAUGGUGUUGAGCGCAUGCCAAAGUCAAACUUCUACCAGAGGUAUGUUCUGAAUAGGUUAGACAAGCUGCAAACAGAUUUGCGUGAUUCAGUUCUAUUAACCAUCUUACAAGAUCUGCCUCAGCUGUCCUUGGAGGAUCCGAUGUUCAAGGAAGCCUUGAAAGUCCUUAGAUUUGUUCCCACUGUCAGUGGGACCUUAAAAAGUCCACAAUCUCUUUAUGAUCCCCGGGUAGAAGAACUCUAUGUUCUUCUCCAGGAAUCAGAUUGCUUUCCGCAUGGUUUAUUUCAGAAUCCAGAUGUUCUUGAUAUGCUACUUUGCUUGGGGCUUAGAACUUCUGUUUCUACUGAUACCAUAAUACAAAGUGCUCGGCAAAUUGAUUCACUUGUGAACAUAGAUCAGCAGAAGGCUCAUUCAAGGGGUAAGGUUCUUCUUUCAUAUCUUGAAGUUCAUGCUCACAAAUGGUAUGUAAAUAAGCUAUCUGAUGGUCGAAAGAAGGUAAACAUGCUAGCUAAAGUUACCACUGCACUCAGGCCUCGUGAUAAAUCUUGGGAAUUUGAUCUUGAAAAGUUUUGGAGUGAUCUGAGAAUGAUUUGUUGGUGUCCUGUGUUGGUUACUGCUCCAAGUCCAGCUUUGCCAUGGCCUUCAGUAUCAUCAAUGGUAGCUCCACCUAAGCAAGUAAGGAUGCAAGAAGAUAUGUGGAUUGUUUCUGCUAGCUCACGUAUUCUUGAUGGUGAAUGCACUUCCUCAGCCUUGUCGUUCAGCUUAGGUUGGUUGUCUCCUCCAUCAGGAAGCAUUAUUGCAGCUCAACUGCUUGAAUUAGGCAAGAACAAUGAAAUUGUGACUGAUCAAGUCCUUCGGCAAGAAUUAGCUUUGGUGAUGCCUAAGAUUUACUCUCUAUUGACAAGCUUGAUUGGUUCUGAUGAAAUGGAUAUUGUGAAAGUCGUUCUAGAGGGCUGCAGAUGGAUUUGGGUGGGGGAUGGAUUUGCGAAAGCGGAUGAAGUUGUUUUAAGUGGCCACCUUCACCUGGCACCGUACAUCCGUGUUGUUCCAAUUGAUUUGGCGGUGUUCAAGGACUUGUUCUUAGAGCUUGGCAUAAAGGAGCACCUGCAUCCUGUGGAUUAUGCUAGUAUUCUCAGCAGAAUGGCCAUAAGGAAAGCUUCGGCUUCACUUGAAGCUGAAGAACUAAGAACAGCUAUCUUAGUUGUGCAGCAUCUAGCUGAGUUCCGGUUUCAGGACCAGCAAACACAAAUUUAUUUACCUGAUUCUUCAUCUAGGCUCUGUCUAUCUUCUGAACUUGUAUUUAAUGAUGCUCCUUGGCUGCUUGAUUUUGGUCAUGACAUCUCUGGGACUGCAUCAAGCAUGGCUUUAAGCUCGAAAAAGUAUGUUCAUAAUUUUGUUCAUGGGAACAUUUCUAAUGAUGUGGCAGAAAGGCUUGGUGUCCGCUCUCUUCGCCGCCUCUUACUUGCUGAGAGUUCUGAUUCGAUGAAUUUGAGUUUGUCAGGGGUUGCUGAGGCUUUUGGACAGCAUGAAGACUUGACUACACGACUCAAACACAUUGUUGAGAUGUAUGCAGAUGGCUCUGGAAUUCUCUUUGAGUUGGUACAGAACGCAGAAGAUGCUAAGGCUUCUGAGGUUGUAUUUUUACUGGAUAAGACUCAGUAUGGUACUUCAUCCAUUCUUUCACCUGAAAUGGCUGAAUGGCAAGGGCCUGCUCUCUACUGCUUUAAUGAUUCAGUUUUUAGCCCACAGGACCUUUAUGCCAUCUCACGAAUAGGUCAAGAUAGCAAACUUGAGAAACCUUUUGCAAUUGGAAGGUUUGGUCUUGGCUUCAAUUGUGUGUAUCACUUCACUGACAUUCCUGGAUUUGUUUCCGGUGAGAAUAUUGUCAUGUUUGAUCCACAUGCCUGUUACUUGCCAGGAAUAUCUCCGUCUCAUCCAGGUUUAAGGAUAAAGUUUGUAGGAAGAAGGAUCUUGGAUCAGUUCCCUGAUCAGUUCACCCCAUUCUUACACUUUGGUUGCAAUUUGCAAGAGCCAUUUCCAGGUACACUCUUCCGGUUCCCUCUUAGGAAUGAGGCUGCUGCUUCAAGAAGUCAAAUAAAGCGAGAGCAAUAUGCACCACAAGAUGUGGAAAUGCUUUUCUCUUCAUUCUCUGAAGUUGUAUCUGAGGCUCUACUUUUUCUCCGCAAUGUUAAAAAGGUAACUCUAUAUGUCAAGGAGAACAACAGUCAGGACAUGCGGCUUGUUCAUUAUGUUUCGAAGCAUAAUAGUUAUCAGAUGGCUAAAGAACCUCAUGCACUUAAUACAAUGCUUGCCUUUAUACAUGGAAACCAACCAUCUGGAAUGGAUAGGAAUCAAUUUUUCAGUAAGUUGAACAGGACUAAAGACAGUGAUUUGCCCUGGAGUUGUCAGAAGGUUGCAAUUCUUGAGCAAAACCCUUCUGCGCACUGGAUGCAUUCAUGGAUUUUAGCUGAGUGUAUAGGAGGGGGUCAUGCUAGAAAGUUGUCAACUGCCUCUGGUAGUAAAUCUCACUUCUUUGUUCCAUGGGCAUCUGUUGCUGCAUAUCUGCAUUCAGUGAGUGUAGAUGAUACACAAGAACUAUCUUCUGUAGCUGAAGUCAACCAUGACAAUUCAGUUUCCACAAACUCAGAUCUUGGAUCUUCCCAGGUCAGGAAAAAUUUUGAGGGUCGGGCCUUUUGCUUUCUUCCUCUACCAAUCAACACUAGCAUACCGGUGCAUGUAAAUGCUUAUUUUGAACUAUCUUCAAAUCGAAGGGAUAUCUGGAUUGGAAAUGACAUGGCCGGGGGAGGAAGAGUACGGUCAGAAUGGAAUCUAGCGCUGCUUAAAGAUGUUGUUGCUCCUGCUUAUGGCCACCUGCUCGCAGCCAUUGCAGAAGAGCUUGGUCCCUCUGACCUUUUUCUGUCAUUUUGGCCCAGUGCUGUAGGUUUGGAGCCAUGGUCUUCCAUGAUUAGGAAGCUUUAUGUAUCUAUUGCAGAACUUGGACUUCAUGUUUUGCAUACAAAAGCUCGAGGUGGCCACUGGGUGUCAACAAGGCAAGCUAUUUUUCCAGAUUUCAGUUUUCCGAAGGCGAUAGAGCUGGCAGAAGUUCUCUCUCAGGCUGGUUUGCCUGUGGUGUCUGUAUCCAAGGCAAUAAUUGACAGCUUCAUUAAUGCGUGUCCAUCAAUUCAUCUACUAAAUCCUCAUUUGUUGAGGAACUUGUUGAUCCGACGGAAGCGUGGCUUCAGAAGCAGAGAAGAGGCUAUACUUGUUCUAGAGUACUGCUUGAGUGAUAUGGAAGAUCCUUCCUUUUAUGUUAAAUUGCAAGGCUUGUCUAUUCUUCCUGUGGCAAAUGGAUCAUUCACAACAUUCAACAAGCGUGGGGAGGGUGAGAGAGUAUUCUUCACUUCACAAAUAGAAUUUGACCUUCUUAAGGAUUCCAUACCACAUCUUGUUAUUGACAACUCUUUACCAGAUGGUGUUCUGAAGAAGUUGUAUGACAUAGCUUAUUCUGCACACAUGAACUUGUAUUUAUUCACAUGUAAUUUUCUCCUUGAACUGUUGCCUAGGAUCUUGCCACCCGAAUGGCAACAUGCUAAGCAGUUAUCUUGGUUUCCAGAGCAACAAGGUCAGCCAAGUGUGCAAUGGAUGAUGUCACUCUGGAAUUUUCUGAGGCAUUCAUGUGAAGAUAUUUCAAUUUUUGCAAAGUGGCCUAUACUACCUCUUGUAGAUGGCAAGGUUGUGCAACUUGGGAAUGCUUCAAAUGUAGUAAGAGAUGAUGGAUGGAGCGAAAAUAUGUAUUCAUUGCUUCAGAAACUGGGAUGUUUAUUUCUGCGAUCUGAUAUGCAGAUAGAGCAUCCCCAGUUAGCAAAUUUUAUUCAGGAAUCUACAGCAGCUGGUGUUUUGAAUGCUAUGCAGUCUGUAGCUUCUAAUCUCCAGGAUAUUAAGGAAUUGUUUACGGGUAUUUCAUUGGCAGAAGCACAUGAACUUCGCAGUUUUCUUUUCCAAUCAAAGUGGUUUUCAGGAAAUCAGAUCACCUCCUCCCAUAUGAGUACAAUCAGGAACCUCCCUAUAUUUGAAUCUUAUAAAUCUAGGGAGCUUGUUAAUUUGACAAAUCCUAGAAAAUGGCUUAAACCAGAAGGGGUUCAUGAAGAUUUAUUGAGUGCAAGUUUUAUAAGAACUGAAUCGGCAAAGGAGAGGUCAAUUUUGGUAUCAUACUUUGAUAUCAAGGAACCCGAAAAGGUUGACUUUUACAAGGACCAUGUUCUUCCUCGAAUGUCAGAGUUUGUAUCUCAGCCAGCUGUUGUUUCAGCAGUUAUUCAUGAUGUGAAACUGUUGAUAGAUAAUGAUAAUUCAGCGAGAGCUACAUUAUGUGAGACCCCUUUUGUCUUGGCAGCCAAUGGAGAGUGGGUCCAGCCCUCGAGGCUUUAUGAUCCCCGUGUGCCUGAGUUACAGAAGUUGCUGAACAAAGAAACCUUCUUUCCUUCAGAAAAGUUCAUGAUGAAUGAUAUUAUUGAACUGUUGGCUAGUUUUGGACUAAAAAGAAAUUUCGGGUUUAGUACUUUGCUUGACAUGGCGAGAUCAGUUUCCUUGGCGCAAGUUUCAGGACAAGAGGAUGCAUUUGCGUGUGGGCAAAAGGUAAUUACCUAUCUCAACGUUCUUGAAUCCAAGACUUCAAACAUGGAGGACAGUAAAACUUCCCUCAAGGAUGAGAAUCUAGAAGCAUCUGAAAUCAGUGAAAUUUUGGAAGAAGAAACUGAUGGGGAUGGGUGUGACCUGAGUGACCAAACUAGUGCAGCUUUCUUCUUGAAUUUUGACCAUGAUAUGCCAGAAUAUUUGUUUUGGUCAGAGCUGAAAAAUAUUUCAUGGUGUCCAGUCCAUGUUGCACCAUUGCUCAAAGGACUUCCAUGGUUUUUAUCUGAAGAUCGUGUAGCACCUCCAGUCAUCACAAGGCCAAAAUCACAGAUGUGGCUUGUUUCAUCAAAAAUGCGAAUUCUUAGUGCUGAUUCCUGUUCCAUGUAUCUGCAAAGAAAACUUGGCUGGUGUGACCCACCAAACGUGAACAUUUUAUCCUCCCAAUUAGUUGAGCUCUCCAAGUCUUACGAUGAGCUCAAGAUAUCUUCUGCAGACGCAGACAUUGAUGCUAUUCUGCAACAGGAAGUUCAAAUAAUCUACUCAAAAUUGCAAGAUAUCAUUGGCACUACCAAUGCCAUCAUUCUAAAAGAGUAUCUGGAUGGAUUUCCAUGGGUUUAUAUAGGGGAUAGGUUUGUAACACCACAGGCACUUGCUUUUGAUUCACCUGUAAAAUAUCAUCCUUAUCUUUACACAGUUCCAUCUGAACUGUCAGAGUUUAAAAAGUUACUAUUAGAGUUGGGUGUGAGGCAGACAUUUGAUGCAAUGGAUUAUCUGAAUGUGCUUCGCCGUUUACAAGGAGAUGUGAAAGGAGAGCCGCUAUCUACAGAACAACUGAGUUUUGUUCAUUGUGUACUGGAGGCAUUGGUUGACUGUUACCCUGACAGUCAGGCACCAGAUAUGUUACUGAACUCAUUGGUGAUUCCAGAUUCAUUUGGGGUUUUGGCACCUGCUAGAAACCUUGUAUAUAAUGACGCACCCUGGAUGAAUGCUGAUUCUACUUCAAAGAAUUUCGUGCAUCUUAGCAUUGGCAAUGAUCUAGCUAAUAGGCUUGGUGUACGAUCUCUUCGCAGAUCAUCAUUGUUGGACGACGAGUUAAUGAGGAAUUUGCCAUGCAUAGAAUAUGCUAAAAUAAGUGAAUUAUUGGCUUUAUAUGGCGAGAGUGACUUUCUUUUGUUUGACCUUAUCGAGCUAGCAGACUAUUGCAAUGCAAAGAAAGUGCAUCUGAUCUAUGAUAAAAGAGAACAUCCCAAGCAGUCCUUGCUGCAGCAGAGUCUAGGUGAACUCCAAGGUUCUUCAUUGACAGUGGUCUUUGAAGGAACCAUGAUGAACCGAGAAGAAGUUUGUAGCCUCCAACUUCCUCCUCCCUGGAAAUUGAGGGGAAACAUGCUUAACUAUGGCUUGGGACUUCUUAGCAGUUACUUUGUGUGCGAUACAUUGACUAUUCUUUCUGGUGGCUAUUUUUACAUCUUUGAUCCCUUGGGCUUGACUGGUGGUGCUACUUCCACUGCUACCUCAUCAGCUAGAUACUUCUCUUUGUUAGGAAAUGAUUUGGUCAAGAGGUUUCAUGAUCAGUUCCUCCCAAUGCGUGUUACACAGGAUGCUUCACUAUCUACUGCAAACUCCACAAUUAUUCGAAUGCCUUUAUCAUCAAAAUGCUUGAAAGAACUUGAAGCAGGUUCCAAUAGAGUAAAACAGAUUUUUGAUCGAUUUACACAGAAUCCAUCCAGUACUCUGCUGUUCCUGAGGUCAGUCAUUCAGGUAUCUUUGUCAACAUGGGAGGAUGGAGCCUCUCAGCCAACCCUAAACUAUUCUGUACUUGUUGAUCCAUCAGUUGCUUCUUUGAGGAAUCCAUUUUCGGAAAAGAAAUGGAGGAAGUUCCAAAUAUCCAGAAUAUUUUCAAGUACAAGUGCAGCUAUCAAGAUGCAAGCUAUAGAUGUGCAUGUGAUUGAAAGUGGCUGCAGUUAUAUUGACAAGUGGUUUGUUUCUCUUUCCCUUGGAUCAGGUCAAACACGAAACAUGGCUCUGGACAGGCGGUAUCUUGCCUAUAACCUGACCCCUGUCGCUGGAGUAGCAGCACACAUAGCUCGAAAUGGAGUAUCAACCAAUAUUCAUCCAUCCAGCUGUAUACUAUCUCCCUUACCGCUAUCUGGAUUUUUGAACAUGCCAGUUACAACUCUGGGUCAUUUCAUUGUGAGGCAUAGUGGUGGGCGCUACAUUUUUGGCAGCGCACAUGAUGCAUCUCUGCCGGAACUUAAAUUGGACAGAGACAGAUUGGUUGAGGCAUGGAAUAAAGAACUCAUGCUAUGCGUGCGUGACUCAUAUGUUGAGAUGGCCCUUGAAUUUCAGAAGCUUAAAAAGGACCCUCUAUCUUCUACUAUUGAACUAAGGUCUGCAGAGUCCAUGAGUGCUAUAUUACAAACAUACGGUGAUAGGGUAUACUCUUUUUGGCCAAGGUCGAAGCAGUAUCCAACUUCAUUCACUGGACAUGGUUCUAUUGUAAUCAAUUCAGAUUCACCUAGAGCAUCCAAAGCAGAUUGGCAAUCCUUAAUAGAGCAAGUGAUAAGACCUUUCUAUCUACGCUUAGCUGAUCUUCCAGUUUGGCAACUUUACCGUGGAAAUCUUGUUAAAGUGGAUGAGGGUAUGUUCUUAGCCCACUCAGGAAAUGGAGAUAAUGAUAACCUCCCAUCAGCUAGUGUUUGUAGUUUCAUUAAAGAGCACUAUCCUGUUUUUUCUGUACCAUGGGAGUUGGUUAGCGAAAUUCAGGCAGUUGGAGUUACCAUAAGAGAGAUCAGGCCUAAAAUGGUUCGGGAUCUACUGAAAGCUUCUUCGUCAAUUUUACUUCGAUCCAUCGAAACAUAUAUAGAUGUUCUUGAAUAUUGCUUCUCAGAUAUGGAUCCUUACCGCUUCUCAGAUCUUCAUAUACCUGAUGAAUCACGAGUUACCAGCCAACAUGUUGGAACAAUGCAUUCUUCCAGCUCACAUUCUAUGCCAUCUUCGAGCAGCUCACUGUCUUACAAUUCAAGUACUCAGUUGCCAGGUACCUCUGGAGGUGAUGCGCUGGAAAUUAUGACAUACUUUGGAAAAGCCCUAUAUGACUUUGGCAGGGGGGUUGUUGAGGAUAUCAGCAAAACCAGUGGCCCAGCAUCCCACAGAUCUCAAGCUACUGAAAAUAAUGUGUUGUCAUCUAUCAUUGCUGAGCUCAAAGGUGUUCCAUUUCCAACAUCGAGAAAGUGUCUAACGAGGCUGGGGGUUUCUGAACUCUGGAUAGCCAAUGAGGAGCAGCAGCUACUGAUGAGCCCUUUGCUGGAUCACUUUAUCCACUAUAAAUGUCUGGAAAAGCCCUUCUUGGCGCUGCUACUAUCCACUCAGGUAAUCCAUGGGCCUCUGAAGUUGAGGAGUUUUUCUCCUCAGUUAUUAGCAGGUUAUUUGAAGCACAUACUUGAUGAGCAUUGGGUACAAUUUGCACUAAAGAACAAGUCCUCAUGGAUUCCUUGGGAUAAUAAUGCUGAAUCAUCAACUGCUUGGCCAACACCGAAAUGGAUUAGAAGCUUCUGGACAAUAUUUAGUUCCUUGAAUGGUGACCUUUCUCUUUUGUCUGAUUGGCCCUUAAUUCCUGCUUAUUUGGACAAGCCAGUCCUCUGUCGUGUAAAGGAAUGCCAUCUACUAUUUGUGCCACCAACAAAUAUAGUUACUGGGCCUGUUGAUGAUGUAUCUGGACAUCUGGAUAUAUCAGAUCCACCCAGAGAUGAUGCAAGAGAAGCGGAACAGAAGAAUGCACUUGAUACUACAUUUGAGUCAAUGAACUCAAAGUUUCCAUGGCUACCUGUGCUGCUUAACCAGUUGAAUGUACCAAUUUUUGAUUCCUCUUUCCCAGAGUGUGGUGCAAUAUGCAAUUUGUUUCCUUCAAAUAGUCAGACUCUUGGACAGACAAUUGUUUCUAAGUUGGUUGCAGCAAAAAAUGGUACCCAUUUACCUUCACCACUUAGUCUAUCAAGUGGAGACUGCGAUAGACUAUUUGAAUUAUUUGUUUCGGAGUUCAGAUUAGCUAGCAACUACUUGUAUGAGAGAGAAGAAUUGGAUGUCUUGAGAACACUUCCAAUCUAUAAGACAGUUACAGGAACAUACACCAGUCUGUUAGGAUCUGAUCAUUGCAUUCUUUCUCCAAGCGCAUUCUUUCACCCCAGUGAUGACCGAUGCCUUUCUUGCUCAUCUGGUGCAACCUUGUUUCUUCAGGCUUUGGGGGUUGAACAACUAAGUGAUCAUGAAAUAUUGGUGAAGUUUGCACUGCCUGGAUUUGGAAAUAAAACAGCUCAAGAGCAGGAUGACAUUUUGACAUACUUGUAUGCUAACUGGAAAGAUCUACAGCUGAAUUCUGCUGUAGUAGAAAUUUUAAAGGAGACAAACUUUGUGGCCAAUGCAAACGAAUUUUGUAAAGAGUUUUUCAAACCAAAGGAAUUACUUGACCCUUCAGAUGCUUUGCUGACUUCAGUAUUCUCUGGGGAGAGAGAUAAGUUUCCUGCUGAAAGGUUCAUGUCAGAUGCUUGGCUUGGUAUACUCAGAAAAGCAGGCCUUCGAACAUCCACAGAGGCUGAUAUGAUUGUACAGUGUGCAACAAAAAUAGAAACAUUGGGGCAUGAUGUCAUGUCACCUCUAGAGGAUCCUGAUGACUUUGUGGCAGACUUCUCAGACAGCAAAAAUGAAAUUCCUUUUGAGAUAUGGUCUUUGGCAGAAUCAGUUGUUAAUGUGAUUUUGGCAAAUUUUGCUACUUUGUAUGACAGUUCUUUUUGUGAAAAGAUUGGAAAAAUUGCAUUUGUGCCUGCUGAAAAAGGUUUUCCAAGUAUUGGUGGUAAGAGAGGUGGUAGAAGGGUACUUGCCUCAUAUAACGAAGCUAUCUUAUCAAAAGACUGGCCAUUAGCAUGGAGUUCUGCACCAAUUCUUACCAAGCAAACAAUUGUCCCUCCUGAAUAUUCAUGGGGAGCAUUUCAGCUUAGGAGCCCUCCUUCCUUCAGUACAGUUUUCAGGCACUUGCAGAUUGUUGGGAGAGGCAAUGGUGAGGACACACUAGCACACUGGCCAACUUCUUCAGGAAUAAUGACGGUGGAAGAUGCCUUUCAGCAGAUCUUGCAAUACUUGGAUAAAAUAUGGGGAACAAUAUCUUUCACAGAAAAAAAAGAAUUGGAGAAACUGGCAUUUAUACCAGUUGCAAAUGGUACCCGCUUAGUUCCGGUGAAAUCGCUUUUUGCUCGUUUGACAAUUAACAUGUCACCUUUUGCUUUUGAGCUUCCAAGUCGGUAUCUUCCAUUUGUCUCUCUUCUUAGAGAAAUUGGGAUGCAGGACAACCUUACAGACUCUUAUGCCAGAGAACUUCUUUUGGAUAUCCAAAAGGCGUGUGGAUACCAGCGAUUGAACCCAAAUGAACUCCGUGCAGUGAUGGAAAUCUUGCACUUCAUGUGUUCUGGAAUCAACCAAAAUACCACAGAUCGAUCAGAUGGGAUUAUCGAUUCAGUAAUACCAGAUGAUGGCUGCAGGCUGGUCACUGCUUCAUCAUGUGUAUAUGUUGACCCAUAUGGUUCUCAUUUACUGAGUAACAUAAAUACAUCAAGGCUAAGAUUUUCUCAUCCAGAUCUUCCUCAGAAUAUUUGCAAGGCCUUGGGCAUAAAAAGGCUCUCGGAUGUCAUUGUAGAGGAACUCGAUGGAAAAGAAGGAAUUAAGCCGGUCAAUAGCAUUCACUCACUUACUCUAGACAGAAUAAAAGAGAAGCUGCAAAGUAAAUCCUUGCAAGAUGCUUUAAGAAUUGUGAUGAUCAGCAUAGCCAAUCAUUUCCCUUCAUUUGAAGCUCUCACUUUGGUCCAGAUCGAAUGUAUACUAGAGGACAUAUCAAAGAAUCUGCAGUUGGUUCAGUGCCUCCAUACUCGCUUUCUCUUACUUCCCAGUCUACAAGAUGUUACAAAAACCGUUCAGCAUCCUUGCAUUCCUGAAUGGUCAAGCAAUGGAAUGCACCGAAGCAUUUGUUUCAUCAACAAAUCUACGGGUUGUAUCCUAGUUGCAGAGCCCCCUAGUUUUUUGACAGUAUAUGAUGUUAUUGCAAUUGUUGUUAGCCACAGAUUGGGGGCACCAGUAAUCUUGCCAAUUGCUUCAUUGUUUGCAUGCCCAGAUGGCUCAGAGAAAGAAGUCCUUAAAAUACUUAAUCUGGGCACUGACAUUAGAGUUUCAAAAUGUGAAGGGAGGUACGAUGCUUCCCUGGGAGCAGAGUUGUUAUCACAAGAUGCUCGUCAGGUGCAAUUCCUUCCUCUAAGACCAUUCUAUACUGGCGAAAUUGUGGCAUGGAAGACAGGAAAAGAGGGGGAAAAGCUCAGGUAUGGUAGGGUCCCUGAAGAUGUAAGACCCUCAGCUGGCCAAGCACUUUAUAGAUUUCCAGUGGAAACAUCUCCUGGGGAGACUCGCAUGCUGCUUUCGAGUCAGGUUUACUCAUUUAAAAGUGUUUCAAUGGCUGAUCUCUCAUCCACACCUUUCCAAGUGGAUGGUGAUAGAGUGGCACAAGGUGGGCUGGUGGACCUCUUGUCGAUCAACACUAGCACUGAAGUCGCCGAGGACUUGGCUCAUGGGCUUGAAUAUGGCAAAGUGUCUUCCACUGAGCUGGUACAAGCAGUCCAUGAUAUGCUUUCAGCUGCAGGAGUAAGGAUGGAUGCUGAGAAGGAAACACUGCUGCAGGCUACUCUUUCCUUGCAAGAUCAGCUUAAAGAAUCUCAAGUUGCUCUCUUGGUGGAGCAGGACCAACUUUGCGGCACAACUAAUUGACAUUGGUGAUAUAACUUUGUUGGCAAGGUUCCAUUACUGAUGGCAUGCAGUUGUAUUCAUGGAACAAGUUGUAAAUUCACCUCAAGUUAGAUGACAUGUAUAUACAACAGAGGGAGUAUUGGACUGUUGAAUUUGAAUACGAUGUGGAUAGUACAUCUUUUAUUGAAAGAUACAAUGUCACAUGUAUGAAUUUGAAUAUGAUGUAAAUAAUACAUCUUUUAUUGAAAGAUACAAUGUCACACCUACAUCUGUCAAACACCUACAAGGAUUUGAAUAGCAAGGAAAGCACUGCUUGGGUCAUGGGGGAAGUCCUUACUCCUUACCAUAUUCGUACUAAUCGAAUUUAGGAGAAGGCCGAGGCCGCCAUUAGAGAAGCUGAUGUUGCCAAGGCAGCUUGGUCAUGCCGUAUCUGCCUGAAUGCUGAGGUCAACAUGACUAUAGUACCAUGCGGCCAUGUCCUAUGUAACCGAUGCUCUAGUUCGGUUUCACGAUGCCCAUUUUGCCGGACGCAGGUGUCCAGAAUGAUGAAAAUAUUCAGGCCAUAAAAAUACCCAAGGCCAUUUGAUCUGGCUUUAGUGUGGAUGUUUUACGGAUUACGAUAUUGGGCUUCCUGGUGGUGGUGGUUCUUCGCAACAAGAAUUGCAUAUCACUCUCCAUGAUGUGCUAAAAUGGCACUGUUGCUGUGGCCCUUCGGUAGGAGUGUAAAUAUAGUUAGUUUGUACAGUCACAAUACACUGUAGUGUACAGAUUAUUUUACAAAAUCAUUGGCCAAUUAAAGGCUUCAAUCCAUGCUCUCGUACGUUAUCCGAA
Molecule: RNA transcript, 15033 nt
Organism: Panicum virgatum (switchgrass)
Lineage: Eukaryota; Viridiplantae; Streptophyta; Magnoliopsida; Poales; Poaceae
Gene name: sacsin-like
Exons: 14
Source: RefSeq, a predicted model, not a curated record